This 468-nucleotide ribosomal RNA is filed under the name uncultured bacterium. RNAcentral's name for it is "partial 16S ribosomal RNA". It matches the Rfam family "Bacterial small subunit ribosomal RNA", at positions 28 to 507 of the family's 1533-position model. The record is from RNAcentral.
GACGAACGCUGGCGGCGUGCUUAACACAUGCCAGUCGAACGGAAAGGCCCUGCUUUUGUGGGGUGCUCGAGUGGCGAACGGGUGAGUAACACGUGAGUAACCUGCCCUUGACUUUGGGAUAACUUCAGGAAACUGGGGCUAAUACCGGAUAGGAGAUCCUGCUGCAUGGUGGGGGUUGGAAAGUUUCGGCGGUUGGGGAUGGACUCGCGGCUUAUCAGCUUGCUGGUGGGGUAGUGGCUUACCAAGGCUUUGACGGGUAGCCGGCCUGAGAGGGUGACCGGCCACAUGGGGACUGAGAUACGGCCCAGACUGCUACGGGAGGCAGCAGGGGGGAAUAUUGCACAACGGGCGGAAGCCUGAGGCAGCAACGCCGCGUGCGGGAUGACGGCCUGCGGGUUGUAAACCGCUUUCGCCUGUGACGAAGCGUGAGUGACGGUAAUGGGUAAAGAAGCACCGGCUAACUACGUG